GAAAUAGGCGGAGCGUGGUCGCUAAAUUGGUUCCUGUGGAGCUAGGUGGGCUGGGAGAGAGAGGCUUGUGGGAGAUUGUAACCUAGGGCUUUCACAGUUUGUUCACAGAGGCUAUGCCUCGCAUCUACUGAGGAUCUAUCAGCAGAAUACAGACUCUGAAGAUCCCACCAGCACACAUGGAAGGAUCACUUCUGUGAAAUCAGAUGUGGCCACUAUGAAUAUGAAUGUUUUCUAAUGGGAGGCAUUUAAAUGCCUUAGCUGAAGAUUGAUUCAAAGAAAAGCUCUCUUUUGGAUUCAUCUCAACAUCUAUCAGGCCCAGGCAGGGACUGAGAGAAUAGAGAGGAUGUUUUGCCUUUCCCACAAGGACAAAUUAUCGGAGUAUGGAGACCAGCAUGGAGGGAUUCCUGGCUUCUACCAAAUCACAACUAAUGUGGACACCCGGCAAAGGAGGAGACGGGAAAUUGCAUUCUUAUUGACAGGUCCGAGAAAGGGCUAAACUGGGUGAGAUGAAGACGAGUGUGCCAGCCAUGAGAAAGGCCUUGGGGAUCAUCAGGAGACCAGGAGAGGGCGUGGGCCUUCUGCUGGUAGAGUCUCUUUGUGUGAAACCUCUCGGUGCUGCUACUUGCCAUGUCCUAAAAGCUUCUCCAUCACACCCCCAACUGCUGGCGCCACAGCAACAUUUCAGGGAUCCAGAUUAGAGAUUCUCAGCUUUGACUUCUCAUUAGAAUCACUUGGGAGCCUUUUAAAACCACCAGUGCUUGAUGCCCCACCCAGGACCAGUGAAGUCUGAAUCUUCAGG
Molecule: long non-coding RNA, 799 nt
Organism: Mustela lutreola (European mink)
Lineage: Eukaryota; Metazoa; Chordata; Mammalia; Carnivora; Mustelidae
Exons: 7
Source: RefSeq, a predicted model, not a curated record